AUUGAGCGCUGGCGGCAUGCCUUACACAUGCAAGUCGAACGGUAACGGGCCUUCGGGUGCCGACGAGUGGCGAACGGGUGAGUAAUACAUCGGAACGUGCCCGAUCGUGGGGGAUAACGAGGCGAAAGCUUUGCUAAUACCGCAUACGAUCUACGGAUGAAAGCAGGGGACCGCAAGGCCUUGCGCGGACGGAGCGGCCGAUGGCAGAUUAGGUAGUUGGUGGGAUAAAAGCUUACCAAGCCGACGAUCUGUAGCUGGUCUGAGAGGAUGAUCAGCCACACUGGGACUGAGACACGGCCCAGACUCCUACGGGAGGCAGCAGUGGGGAAUUUUGGACAAUGGGCGCAAGCCUGAUCCAGCCAUGCCGCGUGCAGGAUGAAGGCCUUCGGGUUGUAAACUGCUUUUGUACGGAACGAAAAGCCUUCUUUUAAUACAGGAGGGUCAUGACGGUACCGUAAGAAUAAGCACCGGCUAACUACGU
This 481-nucleotide ribosomal RNA is filed under the name uncultured bacterium. RNAcentral describes it as "partial 16S ribosomal RNA". It matches the Rfam family "Bacterial small subunit ribosomal RNA", at positions 30 to 506 of the family's 1533-position model. The record is from RNAcentral.